RNAcentral lists this transfer RNA (85 nucleotides) under Rhodofomes roseus. Its description in RNAcentral is "Fomitopsis rosea tRNA-Ala". It matches the Rfam family "tRNA". From Rfam's summary of the family: Transfer RNA (tRNA) molecules are approximately 80 nucleotides in length. Their secondary structure includes four short double-helical elements and three loops (D, anti-codon, and T loops). The record is from RNAcentral. Lineage: Eukaryota; Fungi; Basidiomycota; Agaricomycetes; Polyporales; Fomitopsidaceae.
GGGCAUGUGGUGUAGUUGGUUAUCACGCUCGCUUAGCACCUCGUGAGCAUGCGAGAGGGGUCCGGUUCAAUCCCGGACAUGUCCA